GGGGCUGACAAGGUUUCGACAGGGAUAUGCAGGGUACAAAGAGCAGUCGGUUUGUCGCGUUAAAGACUAAACGCCUAUAAAUGGCAACACAAAUCGUUUAGCAUUUGCUGCUUAAUUAAGCCAAGUCCUUUUUGGAAGCAAAUCAUCAAUUAUAGAAUGGAUCUCUCGGUCUAUAAUUGGUGUAAUUUAGAGAGAAUAAGUAUUGAUGAUAUCUAUAAAUCAAUAACGAAAAAAUUAUAGGUUAGUAAGAGUUAGAUUCGUUUAUUAAUCUUACCUCUUAUGAAUUUUAUUAGUAAACUAAACUUGUAGUGCUUUGUAUGUGGCUAUUUCUGGACCUGGGUUCAAAUCCCAGCAGUUCCACCA
This 363-nucleotide transfer-messenger RNA is filed under the name Bacilli. RNAcentral describes it as "CAG-449 sp900551385 Standard tmRNA". It matches the Rfam family "transfer-messenger RNA". Rfam says of the family: Bacterial tmRNA, also known as 10Sa RNA or SsrA, is named for its dual tRNA and mRNA-like properties. Its role is to liberate the mRNA from a stalled ribosome. The record is from RNAcentral. RNAcentral also lists the same sequence under 1 other name. Lineage: Bacteria; Bacillati; Bacillota.